AGACCCGUUCUGGAGUUCUAGAUUUCUGCUUGUGGUGUGUCAAUCAUUCAAUCAGACCUAACAGCAACUCCAGAUUGCGGCUGUCAGAAGCCGUGGCCUCGCACGCCUUUCCUGGGCAACACCAUCAGUCCACCAGGGCAGGCUGGACACAUGGAGCCUGCGACUCUCCCCUGCCCAGUCCAGCCCCUGCUCCACUGCUGAGGAGCAGAACUCACCACAUAGGAAUGUGAGCAGCCAGGAUGGGAGGGAGGUGAAGGAUGAACGGGGAGCUGGGGCCAAAGAAGAGCCCAGCCAGGUCAAGAAUUCCCCCAGUUCUCUUCCUUUGACACUCCACCCUCCAAAUCGCACAUCUGGAAGGAAAAAUGAAUCCCAUAUAUAUUUCAGAAUUUCCAUGAAGUUGAGAAGGGAGCACUAUGGCAUCUUGCAGGUUUUUCUGUUUUGCUUUUAUUUUUAUUUUUUUUUUUUUUGAGGUGGAGGCUCACUGUGUCACCCAGGCUGGAGUGCAGUGGUGGAAUCUUGGCUCACUGCAAGCUCCACCUCCCAGGUUCAAGUGAUUCUCCUGCCUCAGCCUCCCGAGUAGCUGGGAUCACAGGCGCGCACCACCACACCUGGCUAAUUUUUGUAUUUUUAGUAGAGACAGGGUUUCACCAUGUUGGCCAGAAUGGUCUUGAACUCCUGACCUCAAGUGAUCCACCUGCCUUGGCCUCCCAGCAUCUUGCAGAUUUUUGUUUGUUGUGUUUGCUUUGCCAGGAAAAGGAGGAGGUGAAAAGGGAGCCUUGAGGGAGAGAAGACAUGAUAUUGACCAUAACAGGUCCUGCUGAGGAUCCCUGGUGCCCAGUAGGGAACACCGUGAGGAGGAGGAUUAAGAAAGGCACCCUUUCCACUGAUUUGCAUCGCCAUUUGUACAUGGAGUUUGGCUACAGCAAAAUCCGUUGCUAUCUCACCAGCUACAAGAAGCAAAGAACGAAUUGCAAUUCAUUUUUGUGCUCUAGGACCCGGUUGAGGAGUUUUCCAGCUGGAUUUGAUGUCACUUUCCCAUGCUGUCACUAAUCCCCAGCCACAACAGAAUGGGUCACACUCUUCUGCACUUUGGACCCUUUGCCCAUGCCAGAGUUAUCCGCUGACCCUCUUCCCAUGGCUGUCACCUCUUCAAAAAGGUCCACUGAACCUGAAGUAGAUGUCCUCCCUCUAUUAAGAUUCAACGUAUCAAAUCCACCCUUUCAAAGUCUUAGACUAGCACCUGGCAUACAUCUCCUUGCUGACAAAAAAGGAAAUGACUUCUGAAGACAUGAAAAAAAAAAAACAGGGUGAAGACAAAUUGGGUUAGAAUAACCCAUGACCUAGAUCAUUAGACUUUGACUAAUGAAGAACUGCCUUUUAACAGAGUUAAAAUUGACAGCACCAUGGCCUCACACCCAACAGGGUUUGAGGCUGGACCCUUCUUUGACAAACGAUGCCCUGAUUUACGCGCAAAAAUACCCAUCACAGCAUUAUUUAUAAUAUUCCCUGUCCAAUGCUGGGGACCUAGUUCAAUUAGCUAUAGAACAGCCAUUUGAUGAAAUAUUAUAAAGCUAUUAAAAUAAUAGGGGCAAAGAAAUUUUAAAACAUGGGGAAAGCCUUGAUGUUGUAAUAUUAAAUGAAUGAAGGAAUUCUAUGAAUGAAACUCAUUAAAACAUGUCUUCACAGUAGCUGCAUUGAUUGCACAUUUACUAUCGUUCAGGCAUCUUUUCCAAAUGUGAUACAGGAGGGCAAGCUUGGAAACAAGACGGGAACCUCUUGAUCCAUGGCACAAUGCUGUCGACCCCUAAGUUCUUCCUCUUUAUCUAAACCCAGGUUUGGAAGUACACCAAAAUAUUAAUACUAUACAUCAUUGCAAGCUUUCCUUCUUUGAUCCUCUGUAUUUUGUAAAUGUUCCAACACCUUUUAAAAUACACUUUUGUUCUCCUUUAAAGUCUCCCUGAGAGCUUCUAGAAGGCAGCUGCUGUGGGCUCACAUCAUCCAUCCUUCCCCCCGCAAAUGUGUAAAUAAAGAAACACCUCUGUGCCUUUAAAUUAUAACAGGCUAAACUUUCCCCUGUAAGUUGAUACUCAGACCAGAAGUCUGUGGGUAGGAAGAGUGUUGUGUUUUUUUGUUGCAGCUUCUUUUGGCUGAUAAACUAGCACUUAAGUGUUUCCCUUUUCCAAACCCCCAAAUGACAAGUAUCUUUGUGGUAAAGUGAUGGCCCAACUGUCAUGGCCAUCAUAAACGGUGCUGAGGACACUUAUUUUUAGUUUACUGUCUAAGGAAGCACUAGGCUUGCUAACCAGAGACCUUGGGGCCCAAACCCCUAUGAUCCCCAGAACGGAGCUUUUAAAGAGAAAGAAAGGUGAGGCAACCAAAGCUCUUCGGCGGAGCGCAAGCUCCUUUUCUCCAGAUGGGCCAGAAAGACAAGGCAGAGAUCUUACUUUUGGUGAGAAGACUGUAAUCCUCAUUUUACAUAGUAUAAUUUUACCAAAGAUGCUAUGAAACAGAAACAUGUUGAUUCUAUUUAAAUAAAUGUAAACUCUGGCAGCCUUGGGGAGCCAUUACAGCAAUGAGGCUGAUGACAAGAAACAGAAACACUUCUGCAGACAUCUGUUCCUGUGGUCUCCUCAGCAACCUUUUCUCCCAUCAGCUAACACAGCUUCAUUAUUUCACUGAGGAGCUGCUAUUCUCUUUGGCAUUCACUUUUAAAGCAAGGUGCCUCACCUUCCCUUGGUCAAGUAAUUGGCAUGUUACCAAGUGCAUUAAUUCGUUUUCAUGCUGCUGAUAAAAGCAUACCAGAGACUGGGAAGAAAAAGAGGCUUAAUUAGACUUACAGUUCCACAUGGCUGGGGAGGCCUGAGAAUCGUGGCGGAAGGUGAAAGGCACUUCUUACAUGGCAGCAGCAAGAGAAAAUGAGGAAGAAGCAAAAGUGGAAACCCCUGAUAAACCCAUCAGAUCUCCUGAGACUUAUUCACUAUCAUGAGAAUAGCAUGGGAAAGAUGGGCCCCCAUGAUUCAAUUAUCUCCCCCUGGGUCCCUCCUACAACACGUGGGAAUUCUGAGAGAUAUAAUUCAAGUUGAGAUUUUGGCAGGGACACAGCCAAAGCAUAUCAUUCCACCCCUGGCCCCUCCAAAUCUCAUGUCCUCACAUUUCAAAACCAAUCAUGCCUUCCCAACAGUCCCCCAAAGUCUUAACUCAUUUCAGCAUUAACCCAAAAGUCCACAGUCUAAAGUCUCAUCUGAGACAAGGCAAGUCCCUUCCACCUAUGAGCCUGUAAAAUCAAAAGCAAGGUAGUUACUUCCUAGGUACAACAGGGGUACAGGUAUUGGGUAAAUACAGCCAUUCCAAGUGGGAGAAAUUGGCCAAAACAAAGAGGUUACAGGCCCCAUGUAUGUCCAAAAUCCAGUAGGGCAGUCAGAUUUUAAAGCUCCAAAAUGAUCUCCUUUGGCUCCAGAUCUCACAUCCAGGUCACGCUGAUGCAAAAGGUAGGUUCCCGUUGUCUUGGGCAGAUCUUCCCCUGUGGCUUUGCAGGGUACACCUUCCCUCCCAGCUGCUUUCACAGACUGGCAUUGAGUGUCUGUGGCUUUUCCAGGCUCACGGUGCAAGCUGUCAGUGGAUGUACCAUUCUGGGGUCUGGAGGACAGUGUCCCUCUUCUACAGCUCCAUGAGGCAGUGCCCCAGUAGGCUCUGUGUGGGGGUGCCACCCCACAUUUCCCUUCUUCACUGCCCUAGCAGAGGCUCUCCAUGAGGGCCCCACCCCUGCAGCAAACUUUUGCCUGGGCAUCCAGGCAUUUCCAUACAUCCUCUGAAAUCUAGGCAGAGGUUCCCAAAGCUCAGUUCUUCACUUCUGUGCACCCACAGGCUCAACACCAUGGGUAAGCUGUCAAGGCUUGGGGGUUCCACUCUCUGAAGCCACAGCCCAAGCUCUAUGUUGCCCCUUUUAGCCAUGGCUGCAGCAGCUGGGUCACAAGGGAACCAAGUCCCUAGGCUGCACACAGCACAGAGAACCUGGGUCCAGGCUACAAAACCACUUUUUCCUCCUGGCCUCCAGGCCUGUGAUGAGAAGGGCUGCCGGGAAGGUCUCUGACAUGGCCUGGAGACAUUUCCCCAUGGCGGUAGGGAUAAACAUUAGGCUCCUUGCUACUUAUGCCAAUUUCUGCAGCCAACUUGAAUUUCUCCUCAAAAAUAGGAUUUUUUUUUCUACUGCAUCAUCAGGUUGCAAAUUUUCUGAACUUUUAUGCUCUGUUUACCUUUUAAAAUGGAAUGCUUUUAAUAGCACCCAAGUCACCUUUUGAAUGCUUUGCUGCUUAAAACUUUCUUCUAUCAGAUACUCUAAAUAAUUCCUCUCAAGUUCAAAGUUCCACAAAUCUCUAGGGCAGGGCAAAGUGUCGCCAGUCUCUUUUUUAAAACACAAUGAGUCAUCUUUGCUCCAGUUCCCGACAAGUUCCUCGUCUUCAUCUGAGACCAUCUCAGCCUGGACUUUAUUGUUCAUAUCACUAUCAGCACUUUUGUCAAAGCCAUUCAACAAGUCUCUAGGAGGUUCCAAACUUCCCCACAUUUUCCUGUCUUCUUCUGAGUCCUCCAAACUGUUCCAACCUUUACCUGUUACCCAGUUCCAAAGCUGUCUCCACAUUUUUGGGUAUCUUUUCAGCAACUCCCCACUCGACUGGUCCCAAUUUACUGUAUUCAUUCGUUUUCCUGCUGCUGAUAAAGACAUACCUGAGACUGGGAAGAAAAAGAUGUUUAAUUGGACUUACAGUUCCACGUGGCUGGGGAGGCCUCAGAAUCAUGGCGGGAGGUAAAAGGCACUUCUUAUAUGGUGGCAGCAAGAGAAAAUGAAGAAGAAGCAAAAGUGAAAACCCCUGAUAAACCCAUCAGAUCUCAUGAGACUUAUUCACUAUCAUGAGAAUAGCAUGGAAAGACUGGCCCCCAUGAUUCAAUUUUCUCCCCCUGGGUCCCUCCUACAACACAUGGGAAUUCUGAGAAAUGCAAUUCAAGUUGAGAUUUUGGUGGGGACACAGCCAAACCAUAUCACCAAGCAAGGCCAAUUGACUUUCUCCAGAAAAGAGAAUCCCUGAGUAAAGUGACAUGAGGAACCACUAGCUAAUGAAUAGUUUAUGAAUGUCUCCAACGUAGGUUUCUAAUUUCCUGUCCCAUAUGCAGCCAGAUUCUUUAGCUUUUUAUUUGAUUCUGUGAGAUAUCCUGUAGUCUUCUAAUAUGUAUGUGUGUAUGGUACAAAUAUGUGUAUGUGUGUUUUAAUUUUCUUUUUUAAAAUUAGCUAAAGUUGGUUUCUUUUGCUUGGAAUAAAAAAGAAUUUAUCUAAAAUGAGAGUCCCAACAUAUUUCACUGCCUAUGCAAAUCUAUGCCUAGCUCUGAACCAGAGUUCUCCUCCUCACUAAAUAUUUUCAACUUAGGGGUAAAUGGUCCCUCCUUCUUAAACAGGAAGUGUGUAAUGCUGAACUUUAUAAAAGCAUUGGUGCUUUUUUUUCCUUCCUUUUUCUAUGAAUGCAAGCUUCUUACCACUUCCUAACCAGCAGCAGCCUCAGAGGAGUCCCCCACCACAGACAGAAGAGGGAGCAAGGUCCUCCCCAUCACCUGAGUCUCACAUGGUUCUAGGACCCCAUGGUUCUUGAGCUGGAAACCAGACCCCAGUAUCGACCUCUCAGAGACUGACAACCCCUGACAGAGGUGCCUCAGACUCCAUGAUAGAAAUAUUGGAUGUCAAAAGCAAUGCUCUCAACAGCACAAGGUUCUGUCAAAGACAGUGCAAUGAGAGCCAGCUUCCCCCACCCCUAAUAAAACAGGGCCUCCUCAAUCCCAGUCACACACAGAGACAGCCUCAACAUACAUGCCAAAAGGAUGGACAAUGAUACUCGAUCACCACCACUGCCAUUGCUGCUGUUACUUUGUAUGAGAUGAGCAGAGCACUCCAGUCUGAAUGUUUGGGUGCCCCCACAUUCAUAUGUUGAAAGCUAAUUACCAAGGUGAUAGGUAGGAGCUAAUUACCAAGGAAAGGAGAGGAGGUGAUGGUUAGGAGGUGGGGCCUUUUGGGAGGUAAUUAGGUCACGAAGGUGGAGCCCUUAUGAAUAAAUUAGUGCCCUUGUAAGAGGCCUUGAGAAUUGCCUUGCCCCUUCCAUCCUGUGAGGACACAGUGAGAAGGUGUCAUCUAUGACAAACUGGACCCUCAGCAGAAAAAAAAUCUACCCACACCUUGAUCUUGAACUUCACAGCCUCCAGAACUGUGAGAAAGAAAUUUCUGUUGCUUACAAGCCACCCAAUCUAUGGUGUUUUGUUAUAGUAGCCCGAAUGGUCUAAGACAAUGGACAAUAUCUCAUAUCUACAAUAGUAUAAAUAUAUUUUCAAGCAUCUUUUACUUCACUUAUGUAUUUAUAUAUCAUAAUCCAGUAAGGCAGGAAGGGCCAACAACAUUAGUCCUAUUUUAUGGAUUUGGAAAAUGAAGUACAUGCCAGUACUAUCAUGUUAGAUCUUGCGUUACUACUGACAAUGACGAUGAUAGUCAUAGAUGUCAAAUUAUCAGAUCCUCUCUCCAGAAAUCUUUUAAUUUACUCAUUAUUUUUAAGAGAUAUAGUCUUGCUCUUUUGUCCAAGCUGCAGUGCAGUGGCACAAUCAUAGCUCACUACAGCCUCAAACUCCUGGGUUCAAACUCCUCCUGUCUCAGCCUCCCAAGUAGGUAGGACUACAAGCUUGCACCACCAGACCCGGUGAUUUUUUUCUUUUUUGUAGAACAAAGGUCUUGCUAUGUUGCCUAUGCUUAUCUUGAACUCCUGACCUCAAGGGAUCCUCCUGCCUUGGCCUCCCAAAGUGCUGGGAUUAAAGGCAUGAGCCUCCUGGCCCUGAAAUAUCUUGAAAGCACAGCAAGAACAAUAAGAGUUCAUAUUUAUUGCACGUCUCCUAUGUGCUUUGAAUGUAUUGAAGUAGAUGCAAUUGUCCUUAUUUGAAAGUUAAAGAAACUGAGGUUCAGAAAGAUUAAGUAUAUUGCCUACGACCACAUCAUUAGUAAGUGAUUGAACCAGGAUGUGAAUCCAUGCAGUCUGACUCCAAAGUCAUGCACUAGACUAAUAAGUGACACCUCUGUUAGCCCAUUUUUUAAAGAAAACUCCAUUAGAAUAUGUCAACAAGACCCUUAGAUCUUGUUCUUAUAACAUUUAUAGCACUUUUUAGUCUGAGAGUAAACAUCAUACCUGCUGAGGACAGAAGUGGCUCUUCACUAAUAUUUUCAGCUCAGAGUGAAAAGGUGGGAGAACUCAAAGAGAAGAGUGUUUAAGUCCAUCCCAUAGUCCUAGAUGGCUUAAAGGACUUGGGUAAACACUCAGCUGUGAAACAUUAACAAAGCUCCCAGCCUUGGUGGGUUGCUUCACCUGGGUAUGCCAGGCCAACAGAAGUAUCUGUAGUAGCCUGGAAAAUAUCAAGGAUCUAAUAAAUCAACUGAUGCUGAAAACAAGCUUGACUUCCUUCCGCAAUGUGUAUCUCUGCCAUCGCAGUCUUCACAGCACGGCAGACACUAAAAUGUGACAGGAAACCCAAUCGUCUAGCCUAGCGAGUUAUUUUCAAAGCGUUGCUAGGGUGAUGGGGAGGGAAGGCACAUCACAGACAGACAGAAAAAUCAAAGGUUUGAUAAAACUUGGUGUCAUUCAAGUGAUAUCCACAGACAUUUGAAAGGUGCUCUGCUCACAUGGACAACGUGGAGGAAAUUCAAGGACGAUGGUCAUGACAGCCUCCAUCCUCUUUCAGCACCUUCUUCCCUUGGAAAGUCCUCUCUCUGACAUUCACGGCCUCAACCACCAUCCAUCUCCAGUGCUGUUCCCCCACCCCGGAAGUGCCUCCCAUAUAAUUCUGUCCCGCUUCACUAAAUCCCUGGACUGCUUUUUUUUUUUUUUUUUUUUAAUUAGAAAAGGAAUUUUAAAAUUCAUUUUUCCCCACAGCUGUUUAGUCCUUCAAAAUAUUAGUUACUAAAUCAAAACUGAUGAAAUAAUUUAUGAUUUAUAUGCUAUUGGGUGAUAAUGACUUAAUAAAUUAAUACUGUCAGAGAACUUUUGAAAUUUACCCUAACAAUAACUAAUGGAAUUUUCUAGCUCCCUGGGAGGGUGGUACGGUGGAGAUGUUUAGUGCUUCCUCUCAUCCCAUUCUCCUCUCUUUUUGGAAAGGGUCAUGUGCCUGUGGUCUGUGUGUCACAUGUAGACCAAGGCAUUUAAUUGCCAGUGAGUGACCCUCCAGUAUGCUCCCUCUCUGCUAUGACAAUGGUGAAGUUUUUUUGUUGAAAUGAAGGUGUUGUUAGGUUAAAGCAGCCUGCAUCACUGAGCCACCAUGUGGAGGCAAGUAUCUUAGAGAAUCAUUCCAGGCUACAAUGGACUUUGGAUGAAACAGUAAUAAAAUUCCUUUAUGUUAACCCACCAACAUUUUUUGGUCAUUUUUUAUAGCAACAUAAUCUAGCAUAUUCUGACAGAUAAAGCUAGUAAUUUUUGAUCACUUCAAAUCACAAUCCACAGUUUGAUUCUGAUAAAAGACAAAAUUACUAAAAAUUACUUAAUUAACCAAUCAAGAUCUACAUAACUAGAUUUGUUGUGUAGAUCUUAAUUGGCUUUAAUUUGCCAUUCUAAAAUUGGGCAGCAUGUCAGACCAAAAAUGCUCUGCCUCACCACAUGUGCAGGUUGUAUUUCUCUCCAGAGAAAAGGCAGUGACAUACAAAAAAAUGGAAGUGAGGUACAGAGGCAGACUGAUUGGUUACAGCUUGUGUCUGUCUUAUUUGAACCUAGUUUGAACAGUUGGCAGCCAUGAUUGGCUAAAGCUCAGCUGCUGUAAUUGGCUGAGAACAGUUUGGCAGCUGUGAUUGGCUGAAGUUCAGCUGCUGUAACUGGCUGAGACUCAGCUAUAUGUUACAAAGGCAAAUUCCUAAAUUAGGUUUUCAAUUUGUUUACAUACUAAAUUAGGUUGUAGUUCAUUACGUAAGACUUGGAGAAGGCUUCUUAAGCCCAAAUUUAGUUUAACAGUUCCUGUCUACUGUUAGGAGAAACGUGCUCUGCUUAUUAGCUGUGUGGCUUUGGACGAGUUAUUAUACUCCCCAGAAUGAGUCUAUGUCUUCCUCUGUAGGUAGCUGGUCCUUUUCAGCUAUAAGAUUCCACUUAACUGGCAAUCCAAAAUUACAUGGUAUCUGCUCCCUAAAAAUAACUAUUGUAUGCAAAGACCAAGCAAUUUGUCCCCAAACAAGCAGAGAUGUUUAACCCAAGCCAAAUACUUUUUACCUGUCAUCUCUCUGAACAGGAGGGUCAGGAUCCCAGGUUGCCAGUAAAAAAAGCACAUGUUUUAAAAGGUCUGAGAUUGAACUAAGAGGCCACACGACAUCUCAUUAUCCUCUAGAAUUGGUCAUUCUGCGCCUCUGAGUUAUCAAGAUUUAUCAAAUUAGAGCUGUUCAAUUUGGGAAUCAGGUAGCCUUUCUCAAAGUUUGUUUUUUGUCUUUGGGGAAAGUAUCCGUUAAUGUAUGAAGACAAGAGGGUCACAUGUGAAACAAUGGUUCACAGCCCUUUUAACAUAUCUCUUCAAAGCAAAAGCUUUUCUUGGAUGUAUGUGUGGUGUGUGUGUGUGUGUGUGUGCGCUUGCCUGUGCACACGUGUGUCUGGUACUAUUAGCACCCACUGAUCUAAA
This 9663-nucleotide long non-coding RNA is filed under the name Homo sapiens (human). RNAcentral's name for it is "non-protein coding lnc-APIP-1:4". Lineage: Eukaryota; Metazoa; Chordata; Mammalia; Primates; Hominidae. The record is from RNAcentral.